AGAUUGAACGCUGGCGGCAUGCCUUACACAUGCAAGUCGAACGGCAGCGCGGGGCAACCUGGCGGCGAGUGGCGAACGGGUGAGUAAUAUAUCGGAACGUACCCUGGAGUGGGGGAUAACGUAGCGAAAGUUACGCUAAUACCGCAUACGAUCUAAGGAUGUAAGUGGGGGAUUCGCAAGAACCUCAUGCUCCUGGAGCGGCCGAUAUCUGAUUAGCUAGUUGGUGGGUAAAGGCCUACCAAGGCAUCGAUCAGUAGCUGGUCUGAGAGGACGACCAGCCACACUGGAACCUGAGACACGGUCCAGACUCCUACGGGAGGCAGCAGUGGGAAUUUGGACAUGGGCGAAAGCUGAUCAGCAAUGCCGCGUGAGUAGAAGAAGGCCGUUACGGUUGUAAGCUCUUUUGUCGAGGAAGAACGGUGAGAGACUAAUAU
This 434-nucleotide ribosomal RNA is filed under the name uncultured soil bacterium. Its description in RNAcentral is "bacterial SSU rRNA". It matches the Rfam family "Bacterial small subunit ribosomal RNA", at positions 26 to 465 of the family's 1533-position model. The record is from RNAcentral.